AUUGGAAGGCAUGGCCUGAAGUUGUGGGAGGGGCUAUAGAUCUACUUAAGGGACUCCCCCCUUCCCUUACUUACCUUCGUUGGUCUAGACGAACAGGGUGAUACUCGCCAGCCUUUUCCCUUCCGGCUUCCUGUUGCGCUACGUCACUUCCGGUGAGACGCGGCGCCUGGUUCAAACGUCACAUCGUGAGUAUCCGGGACUCCCCGGCACUACCGGCUCCACAGGCCGACCGGCUCCCCCAGCUCGACGGGGAGGUGAGCGGGGGGAAUUAUUCACUGGGCAGCACAGCAAAGACGGG
Non-coding RNA from Pelobates cultripes (western spadefoot toad), 298 nucleotides. NCBI's taxonomy places the organism in Eukaryota, Metazoa, Chordata, Amphibia, Anura, Pelobatidae. The record is from the annotation of a GenBank genome assembly.